Molecule: long non-coding RNA, 380 nt
Filed under: Vigna radiata
Lineage: Eukaryota; Viridiplantae; Streptophyta; Magnoliopsida; Fabales; Fabaceae
Description: long non-coding RNA (VRAD_LNC011882)
Source: RNAcentral
GAUAUUUCACAUGCCUACACUUAAGGGGGAAAGUUUAUUUUUUUUUCAUGUGAUUAUCUGUGACAGGGGGAGCAUUUGUAUCUGUGUUAUGAUUUACUGAUGUAUCUUUAUACAACUGAUUAUCUGCUAAAUUAAUACCCGUGUGUUUUUCUUUUUUGAUAAUGCCCAAAGGGGGAGAAUUAUACUGAUUUGUGUUUGAUAGUUGAUUGAUAAUUUGAUUUGAUUUGUACAAACAUGGUUUUUUAUUAAUCAUGGUUGUGCAUCAUCAAAAAAGGGUGAGAUUGUUGAGAUUGUUGAUAAGGGGAGCACUGGUUUAGCCAAACCUUACAAUCUCAGAGCUUCUGGUUUUUUAUGAUGACAACACAUAAUUAAUAACACAU